GCCCCCAUAGCCCAACGGCAGAGGCAGUCGACUUAAAAUCGACCGAGUGUCGGUUCGAAUCCGACUGGGGGCA
This 73-nucleotide transfer RNA is filed under the name Propionibacteriaceae bacterium. Its description in RNAcentral is "tRNA-Leu". It matches the Rfam family "tRNA". From Rfam's summary of the family: Transfer RNA (tRNA) molecules are approximately 80 nucleotides in length. Their secondary structure includes four short double-helical elements and three loops (D, anti-codon, and T loops). Further hydrogen bonds mediate the characteristic L-shaped molecular structure. tRNAs have two regions of fundamental functional importance: the anti-codon, which is responsible for specific mRNA codon recognition, and the 3' end, to which the tRNAs corresponding amino acid is attached (by aminoacyl-tRNA synthetases). tRNAs cope with the degeneracy of the genetic code in two manners: having more than one tRNA (with a specific anti-codon) for a particular amino acid; and 'wobble' base-pairing, i.e. permitting non-standard base-pairing at the 3rd anti-codon position. Lineage: Bacteria; Bacillati; Actinomycetota; Actinomycetes; Propionibacteriales; Propionibacteriaceae. The record is from RNAcentral.